This 253-nucleotide ribosomal RNA is filed under the name uncultured bacterium. RNAcentral describes it as "partial 16S ribosomal RNA". It matches the Rfam family "Bacterial small subunit ribosomal RNA", at positions 524 to 776 of the family's 1533-position model. The record is from RNAcentral.
UACGGGGGGGGCAAGCGUUGUUCGGAAUUACUGGGCGUAAAGGGCUCGUAGGCGGCCAACUAAGUCAGACGUGAAAUCCCUCGGCUUAACCGGGGAACUGCGUCUGAUACUGGAUGGCUUGAGAUUGGGAGAGGGAUGCGGAAUUCCAGGUGUAGCGGUGAAAUGCGUAGAUAUCUGGAGGAACACCGGUGGCGAAGGCGGCAUCCUGGACCGGUAUUGACGCUGAGGCGCGAAAGCUAGGGGAGCAAACGGG